RNAcentral lists this ribosomal RNA (3122 nucleotides) under Streptomyces endocoffeicus. RNAcentral's name for it is "23S ribosomal RNA". It matches the Rfam family "Bacterial large subunit ribosomal RNA". The record is from RNAcentral. Lineage: Bacteria; Bacillati; Actinomycetota; Actinomycetes; Kitasatosporales; Streptomycetaceae.
GGCCAAGUUUUUAAGGGCGCACGGUGGAUGCCUUGGCACCAGGAACCGAUGAAGGACGUGGGAGGCCGCGAUAGGCCCCGGGGAGCUGUCAACCGAGCUUUGAUCCGGGGGUGUCCGAAUGGGGAAACCCGGCAGUCGUCAUGGGCUGUCACCCGCUGCUGAACACAUAGGCAGUGUGGAGGGAACGCGGGGAAGUGAAACAUCUCAGUACCCGCAGGAAGAGAAAACAACCGUGAUUCCGGGAGUAGUGGCGAGCGAAACUGGAUGAGGCUAAACCGUAUGUGUGUGAUACCCGGCAGGGGUUGCGCAUGCGGGGUUGUGGGAGUGAGCUUCAGUCGUCUGCCGGCGGCUGGGUGAGUCAGAAACCAUUGCGAUAGGCGAAGGACAUGCGAAAGGUCCGGCGUAGAGGGUAAGACCCCCGUAGCUGAAAUCGUAGUGGCUUGCUUGCUUAUUUCCCAAGUAGCACGGGGCCCGAGAAAUCCCGUGUGAAUCUGGCGGGACCACCCGCUAAGCCUAAAUAUUCCCUGGUGACCGAUAGCGGAUAGUACCGUGAGGGAAUGGUGAAAAGUACCGCGGGAGCGGAGUGAAAUAGUACCUGAAACCGUGUGCCUACAAGCCGUGGGAGCGUCGGACAUCAGCUUGCUGGUGUCUCGUGACUGCGUGCCUUUUGAAGAAUGAGCCUGCGAGUUUGCGGUGUGUUGCGAGGUUAACCCGUGUGGGGAAGCCGUAGCGAAAGCGAGUCCGAAUAGGGCGGUUUAGUAGCGCGCUCAAGACCCGAAGCGGAGUGAUCUAGCCAUGGGCAGGUUGAAGCGGAGGUAAGACUUCGUGGAGGACCGAACCCACCAGGGUUGAAAACCUGGGGGAUGACCUGUGGUUAGGGGUGAAAGGCCAAUCAAACUCCGUGAUAGCUGGUUCUCCCCGAAAUGCAUUUAGGUGCAGCGUCGUGUGUUUCUUGCCGGAGGUAGAGCACUGGAUAGGCGAUGGGCCCUACCGGGUUACUGACCUUAGCCAAACUCCGAAUGCCGGUAAGUGAGAGCGCGGCAGUGAGACUGUGGGGGAUAAGCUCCAUGGUCGAGAGGGAAACAGCCCAGAGCAUCGACUAAGGCCCCUAAGCGUACGCUAAGUGGGAAAGGAUGUGGAGUCGCAGAGACAACCAGGAGGUUGGCUUAGAAGCAGCCAUCCUUGAAAGAGUGCGUAAUAGCUCACUGGUCAAGUGAUUCCGCGCCGACAAUGUAGCGGGGCUCAAGCGUACCGCCGAAGUCGUGUCAUUGCAGCAUGUGGUCCAACGACCGCUGUGAUGGGUAGGGGAGCGUCGUGUGCCGGGUGAAGCAGCCGCGUAAGCGAGUUGUGGAUGGUUCACGAGUGAGAAUGCAGGCAUGAGUAGCGAUACACACGUGGGAAACGUGUGCGCCGAUUGACUAAGGGUUCCUGGGUCAAGCUGAUCUGCCCAGGGUAAGUCGGGACCUAAGGCGAGGCCGACAGGCGUAGUCGAUGGACAACCGGUUGAUAUUCCGGUACCCGCUUUGAAACGCCCAGUAUCGAAUCCUCUGAUGCUAAGGCCGUGAAGCCGCCCUGAUCUCUUCGGAGUUGAGGGGAGUGGUGGAGCCGCCGGUCCAAGGUGGUAGUAGGUAAGUGAUGGGGUGACGCAGGAAGGUAGUCCAGCCCGGGCGGUGGUUGUCCCGGGGUAAGGGUGUAGCCCGAGGGGUAGGUAAAUCCGUCCCUCAUGCAGGGUGAGACCUGAUGCCGAGCCGAUUGUGGUGAAGUGGAUGAUCCUAUGCUGUCGAGAAAAGCCUCUAGCGAGUUUCAUGGCGGCCCGUACCCUAAACCGACUCAGGUGGUCAGGUAGAGAAUACCGAGGCGUUCGGGUGAACUAUGGUUAAGGAACUCGGCAAAAUGCCCCCGUAACUUCGGGAGAAGGGGGGCCAUUGCUGGUGAUGGGAUUUUCUCCUUGAGCUGGUGGUGGCCGCAGAGACCAGCGAGAAGCGACUGUUUACUAAAAACACAGGUCCGUGCGAAGCCGUAAGGCGAUGUAUACGGACUGACGCCUGCCCGGUGCUGGAACGUUAAGGGGACCGGUUAGUCACAUUUCGGUGUGGCGAAGCUGAGAACUUAAGCGCCAGUAAACGGCGGUGGUAACUAUAACCAUCCUAAGGUAGCGAAAUUCCUUGUCGGGUAAGUUCCGACCUGCACGAAUGGCGUAACGACUUCUCGACUGUCUCAACCAUAGGCCCGGUGAAAUUGCAUUACGAGUAAAGAUGCUCGUUUCGCGCAGCAGGACGGAAAGACCCCGGGACCUUUACUAUAGCUUGAUAUUGGUGUUCGGUUCGGCUUGUGUAGGAUAGGUGGGAGACUGUGAACUCUGGACGCCAGUUCAGGGGGAGUCAUUGUUGAAAUACCACUCUGGUCGUGCUGGAUGUCUAACCUGGGUCCGUGAUCCGGAUCAGGGACAGUGUCUGGUGGGUAGUUUAACUGGGGCGGUUGCCUCCUAAAGGGUAACGGAGGCGCCCAAAGGUUCCCUCAGCCUGGUUGGCAAUCAGGUGUUGAGUGUAAGUGCACAAGGGAGCUUGACUGUGAGACCGACGGGUCGAGCAGGGACGAAAGUCGGGACUAGUGAUCCGGCGGUGGCUUGUGGAAGCGCCGUCGCUCAACGGAUAAAAGGUACCCCGGGGAUAACAGGCUGAUCUUCCCCAAGAGUCCAUAUCGACGGGAUGGUUUGGCACCUCGAUGUCGGCUCGUCGCAUCCUGGGGCUGGAGUCGGUCCCAAGGGUUGGGCUGUUCGCCCAUUAAAGCGGUACGCGAGCUGGGUUUAGAACGUCGUGAGACAGUUCGGUCCCUAUCCGCUGUGCGCGUAGGAGUCUUGAGAAGGGCUGUCCCUAGUACGAGAGGACCGGGACGGACGAACCUCUGGUGUGCCAGUUGUCCUGCCAAGGGCAUGGCUGGUUGGCUACGUUCGGGAGGGAUAACCGCUGAAAGCAUCUAAGCGGGAAGCCUGCUUCGAGAUGAGGGCUCCCACCCACUUGAUGGGUUAAGGCUCCCAGUAGACGACUGGGUUGAUAGGCCAGAUAUGGAAGCCGGGUGACCGGUGGAGUUGACUGGUACUAAUAGGCCGAGGGCUUGUCCUC